This 334-nucleotide unclassified non-coding RNA is filed under the name soil metagenome. Its description in RNAcentral is "partial contains 5.8S ribosomal RNA, internal transcribed spacer 2, and large subunit ribosomal RNA". The stretch from base 1 to 120 matches the Rfam family "5.8S ribosomal RNA", at positions 35 to 154 of the family's 154-position model. The record is from RNAcentral.
GAUGAAGAACGCAGCGAAAUGCGAUAAGUAAUGUGAAUUGCAGAAUUCAGUGAAUCAUCGAAUCUUUGAACGCACAUUGCGCCCGCCAGUAUUCUGGCGGGCAUGCCUGUUCGAGCGUCAUUUCAACCAUCAAGCCCCAGGCUUGUGUUGGAGCCCUGCGGCUGUCGCAGCCUCCCAAAACCAGUGGCGGGCUCGCUAUCACACCGAGUGCAGUAGUUUACUCUUCGCUCAGGGCGUGUGGCGGGUGCUAGCCGUAAAACCCCCAACUUCUCAAGGUUGACCUCGGAUCAGGUAGGAAUACCCGCUGAACUUAAGCAUAUCAAUAAGCGGAGGA